RNAcentral lists this long non-coding RNA (810 nucleotides) under Monodelphis domestica (gray short-tailed opossum). Its description in RNAcentral is "lncRNA (ENSMODG00000036008.2)". Lineage: Eukaryota; Metazoa; Chordata; Mammalia; Didelphimorphia; Didelphidae. The record is from RNAcentral.
AUUCAGUUGAGAGAGAAACUGUCUCUCUGGAGCUGAAGAGGAAAGGAGAGAGAAGUGUGGCUGAAUCUAAGAUCAAUUCCCAAGGCAAUAGCCUGUGAAGAUCCUUUGGCUGUGGUGAGGAUUUAUUUUUCAAUCAUCUGCUGGUCAGGGAUUGAGGAGCUGUCUUCAACUUGGAGGAGUUAUCAUCUGUGGACAUUUCACCUUGGAUUCCUGUUUUGGCUCCCAGAGACUCUAUUAUGAGGAAACUGAGGCAAACAGAGUCAAGGGACUUGUCCAGAGUCCCAAAGCUAUUUGACACCAUUGGUAAAGAGUUCAGUCUAAUAAGGGGAAUGGCAUGGCAGUGCAGUGAGCAGUGGAAAUGAAGUAGCUCAUCCUCCUACCCUCCUUCGGGAAUGGAAGAGAAGAAAGCCAUCCCUUAUGAAAAAGAAUUUUUAAAAAGAAAUAAAAGGAAACAUAUGAGGAAAGAAAAGCCAUCAAAGAUGAUCAAAGCAUCAAAAAAAGAAUCUGAUGCAAUGCUCCAUUCCUGUUUUCCAACUUCUGCAAAGGAGAAGUGAAAGCAGAUGCUUUUCCUGGCAAGUACUACAGUGUGGGAAGUAUGAUGCCACCUGAGAAGCAACACAAACCUAGAUACAAAUCAUUCUACUCAAGUCUUGGAGCUGUCCUCAAAGAAAAACAAACUUGGCACUAGACAUAAACUAAAUGAGUGCCAAGAGCUGCCAGCACAUUAAGACCAAAGCCCAACAGAAACAGAGCCCCUCGGCAACUUCUAGAGGGAAUAUCAGCUAAGGAGGAAAGAGAAUUGGAGUUGUG